This 464-nucleotide ribosomal RNA is filed under the name uncultured eubacterium WJGRT-62. RNAcentral describes it as "bacterial SSU rRNA". It matches the Rfam family "Bacterial small subunit ribosomal RNA", at positions 45 to 505 of the family's 1533-position model. The record is from RNAcentral.
UGCUUACACAUGCAAGUCGAACGGCAGCACGGGAGCAAUCCUGGUGGCGAGUGGCGAACGGGUGAGUAAUACAUCGGAACGUGCCCAGUAGUGGGGGAUAGCCCGGCGAAAGCGGAUUAAUACCGCAUACGACCUGAGGGUGAAAGCAGGGGAUCGCAAGACCUUGCGCUAUUGGAGCGGCCGAUGUCAGAUUAGCUAGUUGGUGGGGUAAAGGCCUACCAAGGCAACGAUCUGUAGUUGGUCUGAGAGGACGACCAGCCACACUGGGACUGAGACACGGCCCAGACUCCUACGGGAGGCAGCAGUGGGGAAUUUUGGACAAUGGGGGGCAACCCUGAUCCAGCAAUGCCGCGUGCAGGAAGAAGGCCUUCGGGGUUGUAAACUGCUUUUGUCAGGGAGAAAUCUUCUGGGCUAAUACCUCGGGAGGAUGACGGUACCUGAAGAAUAAGCACCGGCUAACUACG